This 907-nucleotide non-coding RNA is filed under the name Mobilicoccus pelagius NBRC 104925. RNAcentral's name for it is "Eukaryotic large subunit ribosomal RNA". It matches the Rfam family "Eukaryotic large subunit ribosomal RNA", at positions 879 to 1402 of the family's 3401-position model. The record is from Rfam by way of RNAcentral. Lineage: Bacteria; Bacillati; Actinomycetota; Actinomycetes; Micrococcales; Dermatophilaceae.
AGAUGUGCUGACGUGCAAAUCGCUUUUCGGACUUGGGUAUAGGGGCGAAAGACUAAUCGAACCAUUGAGUUUCCACUAGGUGGUUAACAGUGCCGCCUGAGAAGGCGGGCGCUAGUCGGCCUAGUAAGCCGGCAAGAUCGUCAAAGUGCGGGGACACGUUGCUACUCCUUCGGUAGGGCUCCUGGGUCGAAAGGCUCCAGCGGGCACCCGGGCUAACUCCCCGUGGGUAUCCUAACAACCUGAAGGCUAGACGCAAUCCGCAGCCAAGUCCUAAGUCGGGCGAGCAGCCCGGUAUGGAUGCAGUUCACAGACCAGAUGUCGAUCGGGGAGAUUCCCUUAAGAUAUGGUCGGGCCCCACCGAGAGGUGGCCGCAUGGAGGAAGGUCCGCUCAGGACCUGAGAGCCAUGUGGGACGACUCCUGCCCCGGCACAGGAGACGUCGGAACAGCCGCUAGUAGCUGGUUCCCUCCGAAGUGUCCCCCAGGACAGCUGGAACUCGUCUCAGUUUUGUCAGGUAAAGCGAAUGAUUAGAGGUUCGGGGAGCUCAAAGUUCUCCACCUAUUCUCAAACUUUAAAUAGGCAAGACGUCGGGGUCGCUUGAUUGGACCCCGGCCUUCAAUGAGAGCUCCAAGUGGGCCAUUUUUGGAAGCAGAACUGGCGAUGCGGGAUGAACCGAAAGCCGGCCUAAGGUGCCAAACUACUCGCUAACCUAGAUCCCACAAAGGGUGUUGUUUGAUACAGACAGCCGGACGGUGGUCAUGGAAGUCGAAACCCGCUAAGGAGUGUGUAACAACUCACCGGCCGAAUCAAAUAGCCCCGAAAAAUGGAUGGCGCUGAAGCGAGUGACCGAUGGCCGGCCAUGGCAGGCAAGUGCGAAGCCGCCAUGAGUAGGAGGCGUGGGCGUCGUG